GACGAACGCUGGCGGCGUGCUUAACACAUGCAAGUCGAACGAAGAGCGAUGGAAGUUUGCUUCUAUCAAUUUUAGUGGCGCACGUGUGUGUAACGUGUAAUCAACCUGUCUUUCAGUGGGGGACAACAGUUGGAAACGACCGCUAAUACCGCAUACGAUCUAAUCUCGGCAUCGAGGAUAGAUGAAAGGUGGCCUCUACACGUAAGCUUUCACUCACGGAGGGGUAUGCGUCUGAUUAGCUAGUUGGUUGGGUAACGGCCCAUCAAUGCGAUGACCAGUAGGCCGUCUGGGGGGGUGGACCGGCACAAUGGGACUGGGAAAAGGCCCAGGCUCCUACGGGGAGCAGCAGGGAGGGAUCUUCCGGAAUGGAGGGAAGGCUGGAGGGGGAAAGCCGCGGGGGUUGAGGAGGGCUUCCGGUUGUUAAGAUCUGUUUAUCAGGGAGAAACGCCUUCGUGCGAAAAGUGAGACGGAUUGACGGUACCGGAACAGAAAGCCACGGCUAACUACGUG
This 510-nucleotide ribosomal RNA is filed under the name uncultured bacterium. Its description in RNAcentral is "partial 16S ribosomal RNA". It matches the Rfam family "Bacterial small subunit ribosomal RNA", at positions 28 to 507 of the family's 1533-position model. The record is from RNAcentral.